RNAcentral lists this ribosomal RNA (253 nucleotides) under uncultured bacterium. Its description in RNAcentral is "partial 16S ribosomal RNA". It matches the Rfam family "Bacterial small subunit ribosomal RNA", at positions 524 to 776 of the family's 1533-position model. The record is from RNAcentral.
UACAGAGGUCUCAAGCGUUGUUCGGAUUCAUUGGGCGUAAAGAGCGUGUAGGCGGCCAGAUAAGUCCGCUGUGAAAUCUCGAGGCUCAACUUCGAGCUGUCGGUGGAAACUAUCUGGCUAGAGUCCGGAAGAGGAGAAUGGAAUUCCUGGUGUAGCGGUGAAAUGCGCAGAUAUCAGGAAGAACACCCGUGGCGAAGGCGGUUCUCUGGGACGGUACUGACGCUGAGACGCGAAAGCGUGGGGAGCGAACAGG